Molecule: ribosomal RNA, 253 nt
Filed under: uncultured bacterium
Lineage: Bacteria
Description: partial 16S ribosomal RNA
Rfam family: Bacterial small subunit ribosomal RNA
Source: RNAcentral
UACGGGGGGGGCAAGCGUUGUUCGGAAUUACUGGGCGUAAAGGGCGCGUAGGCGGCCUGCUAAGUCGGACGUGAAAUCCCUCGGCUCAACCGAGGAACUGCGUCCGAUACUGGUGGGCUCGAAUCCGGGAGAGGGAUGUGGAAUUCCAGGUGUAGCGGUGAAAUGCGUAGAUAUCUGGAGGAACACCGGUGGCGAAGGCGGCAUCCUGGACCGGUAUUGACGCUGAUGCGCGAAAGCCAGGGGAGCAAACGGG